GUUUUGCUCUCACGCGCUCCCGUCAUCACCAGUUGAGCACAACUGAAUUGUCGAUAAAUUAACAUGUACACCUCCUGAAGUGAAUAAAUCUAUGUGAGUAUUAUCCGCUUUUCGAGUUCAGCCAUGCAUAAAGAUGCCAGGCGGAAAGGUGUGAUCUACUUUCGAUCGCUGUACGUGUGCCGCCGUUCACACCUGAGGACAGGACACGGCUACGUGACGGCUGGUGUUCUGCCCCAACGCAACGCCUUCUGCAAGAGGCAAGAUGCGUCAGUAUUUUGUUUCGAAAACAUUCCCAGACAUAGUUAGUUUAUACACAAUAGGCACAGUG
Molecule: long non-coding RNA, 328 nt
Organism: Scleropages formosus (Asian bonytongue)
Lineage: Eukaryota; Metazoa; Chordata; Actinopteri; Osteoglossiformes; Osteoglossidae
Exons: 3
Source: RefSeq, a predicted model, not a curated record